Molecule: long non-coding RNA, 226 nt
Filed under: Capsicum annuum
Lineage: Eukaryota; Viridiplantae; Streptophyta; Magnoliopsida; Solanales; Solanaceae
Description: long non-coding RNA (CANN_LNC016955)
Source: RNAcentral
CGUAUUGAGUUCAAAACAAGUUAAACCAUGUAAUUUUCCAUAAUUUAAAUUAAAUUCAUAAGUGGUUGAAGUUCAUACAAUUUCAAGUCAAAAUACAUCCAAUUUGGGGAAAACAUAUUUUCCAUUCCAACCAUUUAAUUAAAGAACUAAUUCAGUUCCAAAAACACCAAUUUAAAACAUGAAUAAUCAAUUCAAAGUAUGGGACAAAUAAUUAAAUCAAUAACAA